This is a long non-coding RNA of Perca flavescens (yellow perch), 827 nucleotides long. RefSeq lists it as uncharacterized. The record is from RefSeq and is a predicted model, not a curated record. Lineage: Eukaryota; Metazoa; Chordata; Actinopteri; Perciformes; Percidae. The transcript has 3 exons.
GCGGUCCACCACCAAACUUCCUCUCUCAGACAUAGCUGACACAGAACUCUUGGAAAAAGUCAAAAAGGUAUCUGAAAGUACAACCCUUGAGGACCUUGAGAAGUCAAAUGCACCUUUGCUUGACUACUUGGCCAAUGCAGGAUGUCUGAGGCCUAUGCGGUCGAUAAGAGACAGGGAUCUGCUGGUACAAGACAUUGUCAUGUUUCAGGUCAUCCACAGGGUUCAAAGUCCAUUUCAAAGGUUUUCAGUGUUAGUUGUUGUACAGUCAGAUCAAUCUCAAAAGGAGUCAUAAUUUUAACCAUUGAACAACAAGGUGUAAGACUAGCUUCACAAAAUCUAAUGUGUUUGUAUUAAACCAAGGGACAAUUUGACAGUGUACAAUUGAAUUAUGGAUUCCACAAUUAUUCCAUGUUGUUUGUACAGAUUCUGUGAAGGAGUGAAAACUCUUUGGGUUCAGGACCAAAUACGACGACAUCCAGGCAGCUUUCGACCAUUGUUCUGCUAUGAGCUGUGGAUGAUCUUUUCAGCAUUCGUCUCUCUCCAGAAGGGAGCAACAAGAGAGCUGCUGAGGAGAUGGUCGUUACUUUCUGGAGGGACUAUCUCCAAAAUGCAGAAGAAGAAGGGCCAUCCAAACUAGAGAAGAUAUUGGCCUUCACAACUUGAGCAUCUGACCAGUUCAUUCACAAAGGAGAUGAUGGCUUCUCUACAUCAAUGUUCCCUCUUGCCAACACAUGUGUUAACUGCAUCAACUUGCCACUACAUGUGUCUUACCAACUGUUCAAGGAGAAGUUUGACAUUGCAUUAGGAAACCCAUAUGGAUUUGGCAG